RNA transcript from Trifolium pratense (red clover), 921 nucleotides. RefSeq lists it as uncharacterized. The transcript has 2 exons. The record is from RefSeq and is a predicted model, not a curated record. NCBI's taxonomy places the organism in Eukaryota, Viridiplantae, Streptophyta, Magnoliopsida, Fabales, Fabaceae.
CAUAAAGAAAUAUUAUUCAACGAAUAGAAAACAGAAAUAGAAACUGCCUCAGUUUCUGCCUUGUGGGAACCAUAACUGACUGUGUUCUGUGUGCAUUCCUGUGAGAAUAUUCAAUAAUAAACAGUUGUAAUUUGUUUAUUUAUCCUAUUGGCACAAGUUUCUAUCAGAAAAAUAGAAAUCAAACGUUAAAUGAUUGUUCUGAACACGGUACAUGAUAACGCUGCAGCAACCGUCAGCCCAAUUGUCUAGAUCAUCAAAAUCCUUUAAGUAGAAGAAGCAACCUCUCCAACUCUCCACUUUUAUGACUCAAUGCAUCCUAAUUAAGGAAUUCAGGUGACAAUGGAAACAGGGUCGAACUCAGAAUCAUUGAACAAAAAGGUUUUUGUUUCAAAAAGUGAUCACAAUCCAAGAAACUUGGGUUCAUGGGCGGAGAAAACCGGUUUUGUUUGUGAUUACUCGGGAGAAGCAGGGUCAAGUGGAAGUGAAAAGUUUGAACUUUUUCAAGAGAGAGGAAGAGGGUCUUCAUCUUCUCCAGAGAUAGAGAUAGAUCAUGUUUCGGGGCGAAGGAUGAGACGGAACAGGGAUGCAUGGUGUUGUUGUUGGUUUAAGUGUUUGGGAAAUAGAAAUGUCAAGCCUGUGUAUCUGAUAAAUGAGAAAUCAUAAGAUAUGAGGUAAAUCAUCGUAGCAUGAGAUUGUUUGUUUUGAUUUUUUGUUUUAAUGCAGUGUCCAUUUGAUUCAGACAAGACUUCGUCACGUUAUAGACCCAGAGGCAUUAGUAUUAUGGUCACUUGAAUAAUAAUUAUAUGUGUAGGUUUAUGUAUACUUUAAAUUUGUAUUGUAUCGAUAUAUUGUAUAAUUUGUAUCAAUUCAAAUGAAUAUUUAAUUAUUUAAGUUAAAAAUAAAAAAAUUGUAUUGUGCAAA